Molecule: long non-coding RNA, 515 nt
Filed under: Ananas comosus (pineapple)
Lineage: Eukaryota; Viridiplantae; Streptophyta; Magnoliopsida; Poales; Bromeliaceae
Description: long non-coding RNA (ACOM_LNC028704)
Source: RNAcentral
AUCUAUUUUCCACUACAUUAAAGAAGGAUUUGGAGGACCAAAGGUUGACACGUCUCCCCAAAACCCUCCUUUAUUCUCUCUCUCCCGCUAUAUAAAUAAUAUAAAAUUUUAAAUUUAGACAUCUAUUUUUUUCUACUAUAUUAAAUGAGGGUUUGGGGGACCAAAGGUUAACACGUGUCUGCCCGAAAUCGUCCUUUAUUCUCUCUCCUUCUAUAUAUAUAUAUAUAUAUAAAAUUUUAAAUUUUGAUAUCAAAAUUUAAAAUUUUGAUACUUUUAAAUUUUAUAUUUUAAAUUAUAAAUUUUAAUUUUAACUUGUAAUCAAAUUUUAUACUUCAAAAUUUAAAAUUUAAAAUAUCAAAACUCUAUAAAAUUAAUUAAUUAAUUCUAUUAAUAAUUAAUUAAAUAUAUUAUAUUUAAUUCAUUUUAUUAAUAAUACGCGUAAUAAAUCGCAUAAUAAAAUCUAACCUAAUAGAUGCAAUUUAAAUCACGUAAAAUAUCGCUGUAUAAAAAAAUAC